This 313-nucleotide ribosomal RNA is filed under the name uncultured Arcobacter sp. RNAcentral's name for it is "bacterial SSU rRNA". It matches the Rfam family "Bacterial small subunit ribosomal RNA", at positions 29 to 334 of the family's 1533-position model. The record is from RNAcentral. Lineage: Bacteria; Pseudomonadati; Campylobacterota; Epsilonproteobacteria; Campylobacterales; Arcobacteraceae.
AGUGAACGCUGGCGGCGUGCUUAACACAUGCAAGUCGAACGAGAACGGGUUAUAGCUUGCUAUAACUGUCAGCUAAGUGGCGCACGGGUGAGUAAUAUAUAGUUAAUCUGCCCUAGAGAAAGGGAUAACGUUUGGAAACGAACGCUAACACCUUAUAUGCCUUUAUGUCAUAAGACAGCAAGGGAAAUAUUUAUAGCUUGAAGAUCGGCCUGUACAGUAUCAGUUAGUUGGUGAGGUAAUGGCUCACCAAGACAAUGACGCUUAACUGGUUUGAGAGGAUGAUCAGUCACACUGGAACUGAGACACGGUCCAG